UACUCGAGUGGCGAACGGGUGAGUAACACGUGGGUGAUCCGCCCUGCACUUCGGGAUAAGCUUGGGAAACUGGGUCUAAUACCGGAUAGGAACCAUCUUUAGUGUGGUGGUUGGAAAGUUUUUUCGGUGUAGGAUGAGCUCGCGGCCUAUCAGCUUGUUGGUGGGGUAAUGGCCUACCAAGGCGGCGACGGGUAGCCGGCCUGAGAGGGUGUACGGCCACAUUGGGACUGAGAUACGGCCCAG
Molecule: ribosomal RNA, 243 nt
Filed under: uncultured Actinomycetales bacterium
Lineage: Bacteria; Bacillati; Actinomycetota; Actinomycetes; Actinomycetales
Description: partial 16S ribosomal RNA
Rfam family: Bacterial small subunit ribosomal RNA
Source: RNAcentral